This 1188-nucleotide ribosomal RNA is filed under the name Salmonella enterica subsp. enterica serovar 4,[5],12:i:-. Its description in RNAcentral is "partial 23S ribosomal RNA". It matches the Rfam family "Bacterial large subunit ribosomal RNA", at positions 1 to 1221 of the family's 2925-position model. Lineage: Bacteria; Pseudomonadati; Pseudomonadota; Gammaproteobacteria; Enterobacterales; Enterobacteriaceae. The record is from RNAcentral.
GGGUUGUGAGGUUAAGCGACUAAGCGUACACGGUGGAUGCCCUGGCAGUCAGAGGCGAUGAAGGGCGUGCUAAUCUGCGAUAAGCGCCGGUAAGGUGAUAUGAACCGUUAUAACCGGCGAUACCCGAAUGGGGAAACCCAGUGUGAUUCGUCACACUAUCAUUAACUGAAUCCAUAGGUUAAUGAGGCGAACCGGGGGAACUGAAACAUCUAAGUACCCCGAGGAAAAGAAAUCAACCGAGAUUCCCCCAGUAGCGGCGAGCGAACGGGGAGGAGCCCAGAGCCUGAAUCAGCAUGUGUGUUAGUGGAAGCGUCUGGAAAGGCGCGCGAUACAGGGUGACAGCCCCGUACACAAAAGCGCAUGUGCUGUGAGCUCGAUGAGUAGGGCGGGACACGUGGUAUCCUGUCUGAAUAUGGGGGGACCAUCCUCCAAGGCUAAAUACUCCUGACUGACCGAUAGUGAACCAGUACCGUGAGGGAAAGGCGAAAAGAACCCCGGCGAGGGGAGUGAAAAAGAACCUGAAACCGUGUACGUACAAGCAGUGGGAGCACCCUUCGGGGUGUGACUGCGUACCUUUUGUAUAAUGGGUCAGCGACUUAUAUUCUGUAGCAAGGUUAACCGUAUAGGGGAGCCGGAGGGAAACCGAGUCUUAAUUGGGCGUUAAGUUGCAGGGUAUAGACCCGAAACCCGGUGAUCUAGCCAUGGGCAGGUUGAAGGUUGGGUAACACUAACUGGAGGACCGAACCGACUAAUGUUGAAAAAUUAGCGGAUGACCUGUGGCUGGGGGUGAAAGGCCAAUCAAACCGGGAGAUAGCUGGUUCUCCCCGAAAGCUAUUUAGGUAGCGCCUCGUGAAUUCAUCUCCGGGGGUAGAGCACUGUUUCGGCUAGGGGGCCAUCCCGGCUUACCAACCCGAUGCAAACUGCGAAUACCGGAGAAUGUUAUCACGGGAGACACACGGCGGGUGCUAACGUCCGUCGUGAAGAGGGAAACAACCCAGACCGCCAGCUAAGGUCCCAAAGUCAUGGUUAAGUGGGAAACGAUGUGGGAAGGCCCAGACAGCCAGGAUGUUGGCUUAGAAGCAGCCAUCAUUUAAAGAAAGCGUAAUAGCUCACUGGUCGAGUCGGCCUGCGCGGAAGAUGUAACGGGGCUAAACCAUGCACCGAAGCUGCGGCAGCGAACGUAUCACC